RNAcentral lists this ribosomal RNA (447 nucleotides) under uncultured bacterium. Its description in RNAcentral is "bacterial SSU rRNA". It matches the Rfam family "Bacterial small subunit ribosomal RNA", at positions 355 to 825 of the family's 1533-position model. The record is from RNAcentral.
UGGGGAAUCUUGCGCAAUGGGCGAAAGCCUGACGCAGCCAUGCCGCGUGAAUGAUGAAGGUCUUAGGAUUGUAAAAUUCUUUCACCGGGGACGAUAAUGACGGUACCCGGAGAAGAAGCCCCGGCUAACUUCGUGCCAGCAGCCGCGGUAAUACGAAGGGGGCUAGCGUUGCUCGGAAUUACUGGGCGUAAAGGGAGCGUAGGCGGACUGUUUAGUCAGAGGUGAAAGCCCAGGGCUCAACCUUGGAAUUGCCUUUGAUACUGGCAGUCUUGAGUACGGAAGAGGUAUGUGGAACUCCGAGUGUAGAGGUGAAAUUCGUAGAUAUUCGGAAGAACACCAGUGGCGAAGGCGACAUACUGGUCCGUUACUGACGCUGAGGCUCGAAAGCGUGGGGAGCAAACAGGAUUAGAUACCCCGGUAGUCCCUGAGCGGGCUGGCAAGGCGCAU